RNAcentral lists this ribosomal RNA (466 nucleotides) under uncultured bacterium. RNAcentral describes it as "partial 16S ribosomal RNA". It matches the Rfam family "Bacterial small subunit ribosomal RNA", at positions 28 to 507 of the family's 1533-position model. The record is from RNAcentral.
GAUGAACGCUGGCGGCGUGCUUAACACAUGCAAGUCGAACGAUGAAGCUCAGCUUGCUGGGUGGAUUAGUGGCGAACGGGUGAGUAACACGUGAGUAACCUGCCCUUAACUCUGGGAUAAGCCUGGGAAACUAGGUCUAAUACCGGAUAGGAGCGCCUACCGCAUGGUGGGUGUUGGAAAGAUUUAUCGGUUUUGGAUGGACUCGCGGCCUAUCAGCUUGUUGGUGAGGUAAUGGCUCACCAAGGCGUCGACGGGUAGCCGGCCUGAGAGGGUGACCGGCGACACUGGGACUGAGACACGGCACAGACUCCUACGGGAGGCAGCAGUGGGGAAUAUUGCACAAUGGGCGAAAGCCUGAUGCAGCGACGCCGCGUGAGGGAUGACGGCCUUCGGGUUGUAAACCUCUUUCAGUAGGGAAGAAGCGAAAGUGACGGUACCUGCAGAAGAAGCACCGGCUAACUACGUG